UUGGCCAUUGGAGACGGUACGCAAGCUCCAACAUCCAUUCCUCCUCUGUUUUCGGUCCUCGGUCCCUCAACGCCAUUACUCGCCUUCCCUUGGACUGACCUUGGACGACUCCACGCGCAGCCGCCAGUACAAGGUCUUCACAACUUUCUUAACACGGUGUAUUUGUUUUGUGAAGAGAGGUGGUGAUGCUACAUGGUCAGUGAUGGGUGCUAGGAGAAGUGCAACUCUACCAACAGAGAAAAUCUACUCUUCACAAAGGCCAUGACGGGUAGUUGGAUCCAAAGCACAGAGAAUCAAGAGGUGGUGAUGCUACAUGGUCAGUGAUGGGUGCUAGGAGAAGUGCAACUCUACCAACAGAGAAAAUCUACUCUUCACAAAGGCCAUGACGAGUAGUUGGAUCCAAAGCACAUAGAAUCAAGGUUUAUUUUCUUAGAGCUCCUGUGUCGGAGCUGAUACUAUUGUGUUACGUUGAAGUUUUAUCUUCACUGCUUCUUUUCCUCAUGUGUGAGCUGAGUACCGAUUUCACAUCCUUCCCAUUCUAUGCUAAUACUCCUUCUAAAUCCAACAAGGUU
Triticum aestivum (bread wheat) is the source of this 572-nucleotide long non-coding RNA. RefSeq lists it as uncharacterized. NCBI's taxonomy places the organism in Eukaryota, Viridiplantae, Streptophyta, Magnoliopsida, Poales, Poaceae. The transcript has 4 exons. The record is from RefSeq and is a predicted model, not a curated record.